Molecule: non-coding RNA, 2367 nt
Organism: Lolium perenne
Lineage: Eukaryota; Viridiplantae; Streptophyta; Magnoliopsida; Poales; Poaceae
Source: RefSeq, a predicted model, not a curated record
CCCGGCCCAUACACGUGUAUCUCUCUUCAGAAUCUUCUCCUCUCUCCCCGUAAUUUCUCCACUUUCACCGGCUGAACCGUCUUCUCCCUGACGCACCGGCGGGGAGGACGAGCUCGAUGGACUGCAUCCCACGUGCUCCGGCGAAGUCGGCUUCAUGUCUCGCGCCGGCCCCCUCCUUAUCCAUGAUCGUGUUGGCGCUUUAUUUUUCACUAGGUGACCUAGAUCUUCACUCAUCAACGAUGAAGAUGCAGGAGCAAGACGAGGUCUAAUCGGAGCGGCGGUUCCUGAGGCUUUGCUGGCGGCACUGGAUGGGGAUACGGCAAGGACGGAGAAGGCGGCCUCGACGACAUCUCCAACAACUACGCCAGCGGCUGCGGCGUGAUGGAGAAGGAGCAGGAGCCGCAGUCGCCACCGCAAUCUCUGCGUAGCAGGCCAUGGGGUCGGUGAGGAUGCAGACGUGAAGAGGCCGGCGAAUACUGGAGUUCGUCCGCCGGCGGGUCCUCGAACCAAGGCGAGCGGCGGCCGCCUCAUCUGAUCGUAACCGCGCGAUAGUAUCUGGUCGUUCGUCAGCGGCUUGCAGAAAACGGGGACCGAGAGCAUCCGUGACGAACGGCAAAAGAUAAGUCUCCGGCUGUAGCAGCUCUGCAUAUUUUAUCCCCUUUCUUUUAUCCCCCGUUUUUCUCAUUUGCAGGACCAAUGGAGGAGGCCGACGAACCAACCACAAAGAAUCUUUCUCCCCAACUCAUCCCAUCUCCCUACAACAACAUCUUAUCUCCCUAAUUUGCCGUUUGAGCGCUGGAUCUAUUUUUCUCUUUUUCCCUCUCUUAAUACCUUGCAUAAUCUGAUUAUUGCAUUGUUUCAGGAGGUUCAUGAGUUUGAUGUACUAGAUGGAGGAGCAGACUGUUCUGGUUCCGCUCAAGAUGCAGCAACGACAGCAGUUCGCUGCGAUUCAGCCAUAGUACAUCUUCCAGACCAUGCCCUAGCUCGCGGCUGUCUUCUCGGGAACCAAUGAUGCUACCGUCUCCGCGCCGCCGGCCGUGUUGGCCAUGGCCUUUUACCCUCCUCCACCGCCGUCGGCUUCCACUACACCAAUGCCCUGGGCCGAGACGCCAUUGGUGACAGGGUCUCAUUCCAGCAGGCGUCCCCUGGGGUCGACAGCAUGGCUUUCGCAACAGCUGCAGCACCGGCCAGGGCUAACAACAAGAAAAGGUGAGUUAUUAGCCAGCCGGUGCAAAAUGUAUAAUUCAUAGUUAGUUCAAAAUUUAACCUGUGUGUUAUUGCCCGUGGAAAUCUAUUCUUUUACCAACAACAGACCAUAUCUUUCAAACUUGCAGAAUUAUAAGCUAACCUGGGCUCACGAUUCCAUAACAUUAGGUUUGUUGAGUAGUAUUUAUUUAAGAGAAUUUUAUGUACGAGAUGAAGAAAUUAGGGAUGUGUUCAAUUACAUGUAAAGAAUUGCAUUACCAUGUAAAAUCAAUUUUGAAGUACUGCGCUUUGUAAAUGGUCAAAAGUGAAAUGUAUUAGAGAUGAGAGAAGAAUUGAUUGUGUGGUUCCAGUGAUCUACUAAUAGUCUAAUAUUAUAGAAUUAUGCACAAACACGAGCUACGCAACACUUAUUUAUAGCUGCUCAGUCUACUUGGAGUGAAUGACAGCGUAUACGGGAUUGCUGAAUCCACGAUAGGACAUCUAGCUAGGCUCUGGUCAUGGCAGGAGGCUGCAGCUGCUCAAGAUCUGGGAGUAAAGCACAGAACGGCUGGGUGCGCUGCGCAGGGGCAUCGCAUUCACCGGCGAGAUUAGGUGAACUGAGUUAUUUCUGGAGAAUCUGGUUAUGGUCGAUUUUGUUAUGGAGAUUCCUACAUAGUUUUGCAGGGUGCAUUUCAGUGAAGACAACGCAUGGGUCGUGUGCCACCCUUGUGCCAGCUUUGGAGCAGCUGGAGAAUGUGGACUCUGCGUUGAAGUUUCCGAAGUUUCCGACAGCUAUAUGUAAUUCGUCUAGCUGGCCCUUGUGUUUGAACAAAUUUUUAUUGAACGAACCAAGGCAUGUACACGUACUUGCUAAUUUUCUGUUGAUUUUGCUAGCAACCGGUGGUGGUUGUAUUGCUGUCCUACGGCUCAUUCAGCUAUUUCAUUUGUGUUGCUUGAUAAUUCACCGAUGAAAAUCUGUAACAACCGAACAACCUUUACUAGAUGGUAAACUUUCCUUCGGAUUUUGUGGCCAAACAGCAGAUUACUUUCCACCUGAUCUGUUUAUUUUUGCAUUGGACCAUUUAUACGUGCAAGGUAACUCUUGGUCAUUUGUUAUUGAGAUGCUACUACUCUUUGUCCAUAUGUCUCUUGAUAUAAACCGAAGUGGUCAUCUGCUAUUUA